ACGCCGCAGGGGUCCACUCAGCUGUGCGCGCCUCGCGAGCCGACUGGGGCUAGGGCGAGGCCUCGGGACCGCGGGCAGCCGCGAAGCCCGACUGCCCGGCCCUCGGCUCGGGAGCCAGAUGGACGCCGUGGGCUGAGGAGAGGCCUGAGGAAAAGGUUGCCCCCACCCGCGGGAUUGAGGCGGCCGGGCCGCCGCGGGCCUCUGCGACGCUGAUAGGUCGCGCCUUGGCGGGCGGGGGCAGCUUUGGCGGGAGAUUCGGCCGCGCGCGACGCGGCGCAGGUCGUGGGGGAAGGGUCGCAACAGUUGACAACUACACUGAGUCUUUCCGGUCCCACUGCCCUGGCCGUUGACCGCACACCGGCCACCGACUGAGCCGCUAGUUUCGGUUGCCGCUGCCUCCCUGCCCGUCCAUGACGUCCUCCACUGUGUCGCCGGUGCAUGACGCUCCCACCCUCUGCCUGGAGUUGACUGGGUUUGUAUCCUGAAGAAUCCCUGGCUCAGCAGGAUUACGUGUACUGUUUCCCCAAGAACCAUCCUGUGGGUCAAGAAGCAGAAUGGGGAAAAGGCAGCAAGCACUCACUGUCCGGUUGCUGGGGUGCUCACCUGAGGGCCCAGUGCUGUGGGGAACCCCAGGCUGCUGUCUUGGCUGCCCUAGGUGCUCGGCUGGCAAUUCCUGGGCCACCCUGACCCACAGUGAGGUCAGUAGAGACAGCCUGGUGUCCUCACAGGACGCAGCUGCAAACAUAAGUGAACCGGAAAGGCUGCUCACUCCUUGGCUACCCAUGUGUCCCCACAUCAGUUCCUGCAUCUGGAAGCAGCCGCAGUGGCGACCACACAGUGACUUCCCCCAGGACGUGUCUCUGCCCCUCCCACCCUGCUCCUGCAGAGGGCCCUGGGUCAGGGGUUCUCAAGACCCCAGAGUCCCUAACCAGAAAUCAGAGGGGAAGGUUCCUACUGUACCCGCCUCCCAACCAAUGGGUUUUUCCUCCUUAUUCUGAACAAAGCACGCCACGCACGCAAUUCCACCUCUAAGGUGGCUUCUCCAAUACCCACAGGCCAUUCUCCAACUAUGACAAAAGUUUGGUUUUAAUAUCGGGCAACACAAAACACAGUACAUCACUUCAGACUAAAU
Molecule: long non-coding RNA, 1132 nt
Filed under: Homo sapiens (human)
Lineage: Eukaryota; Metazoa; Chordata; Mammalia; Primates; Hominidae
Description: non-protein coding lnc-TACC3-1:3
Source: RNAcentral